This is a non-coding RNA of Physcomitrium patens, 6321 nucleotides long. The record is from RefSeq and is a predicted model, not a curated record. NCBI's taxonomy places the organism in Eukaryota, Viridiplantae, Streptophyta, Bryopsida, Funariales, Funariaceae.
ACGAUAUCUGCUGCGAUACCUCAAUUAGAAGUGAAGGAAUGAUUCAAAAGCACUGUUUGCAAGGCCCCGCCAUGGCUAAAGUAGCAUGUUGAGGCACAACUGUUACAAACAAGCUUAUGAACAUAAACCUGUUAGGAGCAAAGCUCGACUUAUUUUACAUUUGUUUGUUUUUUGUUUUUUUUGUUUUUUUUUUUUAAUCUAUGCUUUAGAGCUCUUAAGAAUUGUGUUCUAAGUUGAAAAAAUUGAUCGCAGGUCGAGGUUCUUCUCCUUGCAUAGUGGAUACUCGUUGAAGUGCUCCAACGACUGUGUGACUUAUUGUCACUCCAUUUCUUCAGACGGUUGAUAGAGUCACAUGCACAAUGCGAGUUAGAGUCUGAGUGUGGUGAUGAAUUCGUUGAUGCAAUCGUUGAGGUUGAUUUCUUGGUGGUGGCGAAGACUUCGUCAUUGGAGGAUAGCCCUCCAUAAAGUUUCAAGGCGAAGCGGUGGUGUUGAAGAAAAAAUGUAGUUUUGGUUCUACUAUAAAUGCUAGGAGAUUUUAUGUAGUCAAUAGAGGUGUUUGCCCUCGGGUUUAUUUAUCUUAGUGCGAGUGUGCCGAAUAGAUUUUGGAUUAAUGUGAGGCAUUUCAUAAGAAUUUUUGGACUCUGGAGGAUGCUGAGGUUUUUGUAGGUCUUUUAGUUUAGGUUUUUGUACCUUCUGAGUUAAAUCCCUCUCUAAAACUCAGAUAGGUGAUGUUGGGUUCUAUUGUAGAUUCUUAGUUUUCUAUAGGCAGUUUUGCAAGACCUUCUUGUUCUUUAUUUCUAAUAAAUUGAUGUUGUGCGAGGGGUUUGGUAAACUGAUUUGCUUGCUGAAAGAGAUGUAGCUGACCUCUACACUUCUUUCUUCAAAUUUCUCUCAGAUAUAGUGAUGUUCUAGUUCUAUGUGCUUUGUUCUUUGAUGCAUGAUUGGGUUCUUAACAAGCAUGAUAGUACUGAAAUUAUCACAGAGUAGGGGGGGGGGGGUUGGUCCUGGUAUUUUCACCUGGAGUUCUUGUAAUAGUCGUUGAAAGUAGGUUAUGUUUCUUGCUGCUUCCGACAAAACUCGAUAUUCUGCUUCGUUGGAAGACAAUAACGUGGGUUGCAAUUUACUUGUCCAGGCUAUAGGAGUUCUAGUCUCCUUUUGAAGUUUUCAUUUCGGGUUCAUUGAUACUAGUAAGGAGUUGCAAGAGGUCAUCCCAAAUUUAUCCAGCAAUUUUUGGAUGUACCUUCGUUGGUGGAAAUAAAUGGCACAAUUGUCGUAUAUUAGCUCUACUCCAAGACUUCUUCAUCAAUUUUCCCGUUGAGGAAAGCGCUUUUGACGUCUAAGUGCUGCAGUUUCCACUGUUUCUUUGGAGUUAAUGCAAUUAUGCUCCAAAUGGUGGACUAUCUAACUACAGGUGCGAACGUUUCACCAAAGUCAAUCUCUUCUUCUUAUUCAAAUCCCCGGGCUACGAGCCUCGCCUUCAAUUUUUUUGCCUGUUUUCUUGAUGCAAUUUUCAAUUUGAAAAUCUAGUUUGUAGAUAUGGGUGACUUUCUCGCAGGUAGAUCAACCAGAUGCCAAGUCUGAUUUUGUGUUAUGGAAUCUACCUCUUGAUCUAUCGUGGUUUUCCAUCCUUUGUGUUGAAUCGCUUGUUCAAAGAUUUCAGGUUCAAAUUCUAUUCUUUCUGUCGUCAGUAAAUAGUUGUCAAUGAAUCUGCUCCUUGGUCUCUGUUCUUGUAUUUGGUAUUAUCUUUCUCUCAAUUAAGUCAGUUUGUGUUCUGGAAACUGCGCAAGUGAACUUUGCGCGUGGUUGUGGUGUCCAAUGCUGUCAUCAUUGCUAUCACUUGAAAAUUGAUUAGUGGAACUAGAAGUUGGAGGUGCGUUGUCGGAUAAGUCUUGAGCGACGGGGAAUUCUACUUGUUUGGCGGCUUCAAUUUUUCUAGAUUCCUAAUCUGGGAAUGAGGCGAGUUUUUCCAUUUUAAAGUCUUGAGGGCUUAUUUUGUCAUAGCCUACUUGGCUCUUAUCUAUAACUACAUCACAACUAAUAUAGAGUUUGCGUUUUACAGGAUCAAAGACUCUGUACGCUUUUGAGUGUUCAUCAUAGCCUACGAAGAUACAACGUAGUGUUUUGUUGUCCAAUUUAGAUCUACUCUCCUUUGGUAUGUGUAGGUAUGCUAGGGCGUCCACUCUAGGUUUUGUUUUCAAGAAUCUUUGUUUGGGUGUAGUACCAUGGUAAGCUCUUGUGGGACUUAUAUUUACAAGGUAGUUGGCUAUAUUGAUGACUUUUGUCCACAGAAAUCCGAGCAAUUGGUAGACAGCCAACAUUGAUCUAGCUCUUUCAACCAAGGUUUUGUUCCAUCUUUCACUCACUCCAUUUUUUUGAGGUGUCCUUGCCAUAGUUAGCUGCCUUACUAUGCCAUGGUUUGUUAGGAAGUUGUUAACUUCGUGUAAUAGGUAUUUCCCUCCCAUGUCUGUUUGUAGCAUCAGUAUUUUCUUGCAUGUUUUGGAUCCUAUUCUUGAUUUAAACUCUCUAAACUUUCCAAAUGUCUCGCUUUUAUUCUUUAUAAAGUAAACGCAACUUUUCCUGGAGAAUUUGUCUAUAAAGACAACAAAGUAUCUUGAUCCAACUAAUGACGGAGUUUGAACAGGUCCAACAAGGUCAGAGUGAAUUAGUUGCAAUACUUAUGUGCUCCUAUGUGAUGUUGUCUUUGAGAAGCGCUCUGUGUGUUGGCGUCCAACAAGUCAAUCUCCACAGAUUUCCUUCGUGUAUCCAAGCAUGGAUAGUCCAAUGACCCUUACUGCUCUUGAAAGGUGCUGAAGACCUACGUAAUGAAGAUGUCCAUAUCUUUGGUGCCAGAGUCGUAUAUCUCAUUUUAAUAAUAUUGAGUUUACUUUAGCUUCCAAUGAUUUGUUUGUAAAUCUACAGAGGUCAUUUGAUGGAUCUCGUCUUCCUAAGGCUAAUAUUAUCUGUUUCUUGUGGUUGUUCAGAAUAAUGCAUUGCAAAUUGGUAAACACUAUGAUAUGACCUUGAUCAAUCAAUGAUCCUACUAAUAAGAGACUAUGUGUCAAAGUCCGCACAUAUAGAAUAUUUCCCAACUUUAUUUUACUUGAGACUAUUUUCACAAUAGAUGAGCCGGCGGCUCCAACUUGGUGAACACCAUUGUCGGCUAUUUUUACAGUGUGACCAGAUGAGUUCCCUUCUAUCCAUUGUAGUUUUGCUCUCACUCUUGUGACAUGAUUACUAGCUCUAGAAUCCAUGUACCAAUGCUGAUUUUGGUAUUUGGUCAAAUUUGCAUGUGAAGACCACUCUAUCACUCCUGCAUAGUUUCCUUUAUUGUAGUUUGAACUAGGAUAGUACUUCAUGUGAGAACAAUUUUUCGCAAUGUGGCCUAGGUUUCCACAUGUAUAGCAUACUACAAUUCUGGGACUUCUAAACUGUCCAGAUUUAUUAGGAUAAGCAGUUGGAAGGUUACCCUAAUGGUGUCCAGACGCAUUUCCUCUCAGCUGAGAAUUACAGUUGUAUUGUGAUAAUGGUUGUUGUUGUGGAAUGGUACAGAUCCUCGACCAUAGCUGCGUCCUCUUCGACCUUCUUCUUAGAAGUAACCUCUUCAUCUUGGAAAGAACGGUCGCUAGAAGUGUACUAAUAGUGCCUUGUCUUGUUCGAGCUUCUACUCUCGCACUACCACUUGGUGUGUCUAUGUGAGGAUUUUUUUCAUAACUUCUUCAAAGGAUGGGCUUGUCAUGUACGUGAUCCUUUGGAUUACCAUCUCGUAACUCCUUGGUAGUCCAUUGAGAACAAUAUUGUUCAAUGUCUUGUCCUCAACUACCUCCCUGAACGCCUUCAGUUGGUUCCUGAUGUCCAUUGCUUCAGAUAGAUAAGUAUUGAUGUCUCCUCCUUUCAUCACCAUGUUGUGUAGUUUGCUCAUGAGUAACAUGGUAAAGGAGGUGGCGCUUUUGGAAUAGAAAUGUAACAAGCACACAGCGGAGCUGGAGACGAUGCUGAUAGAGCUAAAGCCGAUUGUAGAUAGCAUUAAUCCAUCUACCGCUAACUUUGCGGUGGGAAAUUGGUUGAAGGGUUUGCGCAUGAGGUUAGAUUGCUUGAAGCACAUGUUGCAAGCCCUGAAAAGGAAUUGUUUCACUAUUCCUGAAUUUCUUAAUUCCAGAUAGCUGGUGAAGGAGAAGGAGCUGCUAAGCAACAUUCUGUCACAAGCUUCAAUUGUGGGUUUUGCAGUAUUCUCGGAGACUUCUGCAAAUAUGAUGAAGCUGCUCGAUGAACAAAAACAAAGUCAAAUGAGAUUUAUCUUCAUUUAGAGAGGUUGAAGUUGGCCUGUGCUACCAAAUUAGCACUUGACAAGUCUCAAUACGGGUAAAGAAAGUCAGAGGAUGUAAUGGCUGCGAUAUCAUCUAUCACAAGUGAAGUGGAUACCAUCCGCUUGACUUCCACACAUACUAGUGCUUUGCCAAAAGUCUCCACCUCCACUAACAUGCCGUGCGGCGUGGAUAUGGAGAAGGUGUUCGGAAGAGAUGGGAAUGUGGAAGAAGCAAAGAAGUUGUUACUGGACCAGAACACACUCAUGAUAGGGUUCUUGGCAAUAGGUGGGGCAGAGAAGAUGCUUGCCGCUCAGCAAGUCUUCUAUGACAAUGCCAAACGAGUGCACUUCACACGGGGUUGCUUCUGGUUCACUAUCAAUAGAGACUUGUCGGUGGGGAGUCUCUUCCACAACCUCAUUGAAGAUCACUGAUUGCUCAGAUGCCCGCCAAAACAUUCCCAUGGAUGAUAUGAAAACAGAGCUAAGUGAGGAUCUUAAGGAUAAGAAGAACAUGCUUGUUGUCCUGGACGAUGUUUGGGAAGAAAAUGUGCUACGCUCGGUGGCAUCUGUGGUCCUCUCAAGAGCGGGGUGCAAAAUCCUCGUCACCACUUGCAUAGAGUAGGUGUUGGACAAAAACCAUGUGACAAAGCUUAAAUUUGUGUUGCUAGAUGAAGAGAACACUUGGAAGUUGUUCUGAUGGCAAGCACUUUGAGGGACCAAUCGUGUGUUUCUGGAGCUAAAAAAGCUAGCUGAGGACGUGAUGGGCAAAUGUGGUGGACUUUUGCUGGCGCUCAAAGUGAUUGGCAGUGUGUUUGCAGGGAAGCUAAUCGAGGCUUUUAGGAGUUGUCUUUGUAGAAGCAAAAUAUGCGGAUAUUUUAGACAAGGAUCACAAAAUGCGGCUGCACAGUUGACUCAAACUCAGUUUUGAUGAGCUUGGAAGUAUCGAUCAAAGACUAAAGGAUUGCCAAGUUGGGAUAUACGAAGAUUUGUUGCCGUUGUAGAGAGGGAAAGGAAUUGUGGGAGAGAAGUCUGAGUAUGAUCCGAACCUAGAAGCGUGUAGGCUGGUGGGCGUGUUGGUCUCCCGCUCAUCAAGGAUCUAGGCAGAGGCAGGAGGACAAGUCUUUUAGUUUGCAGGUUGUCUCUCAUGUUGACAAAGCUGAAGGAGCAACCUGCCAAACUGGAUGCCCCAGAGCUCCAAGUUCUAUUACGAGACAAUCUUUUGAGGUCAAUUUCCAAGAAACUCUUCAACAAUCUUCACAGCAUCCGCGUUUUGGAUCUAAGGACUGAGAUCAAUUCGCUACUGAAGAAUGUUAGAGACAUAAAAUCUCUGUCAGUUUGACUUGGACGAAUAUAGAGACGCUCUCACAAUCAAUCGGGAAGUUGGUCGGCAUGGAGGAGCUGUAUCUUGAAUGCUGUGAUCGUCUCACUUACUUACCUUCCAAUUUAAUUCACCUCACCAGGUUGUAAAUCCUGUAUAUUGAUGGAAGUAAGCAUUUGUUCAGAACGAGUCUUUGGGAGGGACUUUCCAAAAUGUUCAGAAGGAAAUUAGUGGUGUGGGACCUCGUCAACUUGGUUGGCUUGGAACAUUCGAGUGUCUAGAAUGGUAAUUCCUUGGAAACAAUGUUGUUCCCAGCUGACGGCAUCAAAGAGGCUCCAGAAGUUGAAGUUCAUUGGAAAUGGUUGGCAACUUCCAGAGUUUCCAGAGUUGAGUGAUGACCAGCAGCAUUCGAAAUACCUUGAGCUUUCAUGUGGGGGUUGGUUUCUCUUCCAAACCGCUUGUGUUCCCUCCCUCUUCUGCUUUCUUUAUACAAUGCUCAAUGUUGGUCUCACUUCCAACUCUAGAUCAUCUUCCAAAUUUGGUGAGAUUGAAUAUCUUUGAUUGUGAUGUUUUGGAGGCUUUACCAACUUCUUUUGGUAGAAAAGAUGGCUUUCUAGCUCUUGUAAGAUUUGAUUUACAAGUAUGUGAUAAACUUGCAUCUUUGCCAAAGUUGGAAGAUGGUGCAAUAAUAUGUCUUAAA